AUACGUAGGUGACAAGCGUUAUCCGGAUUUACUGGGUGUAAAGGGCGUGUAGGCGGUUUGGCAAGUCAGAAGUGAAAUUCCCGGGCUUAACUUGGGCGCUGCUUCUGAAACUGCUUAACUUGAGUGCUGGAGAGGAUAGUGGAAUUCCUAGUGUAGCGGUAAAAUGCGCAGAUAUUAGGAGGAACACCGGUGGCGAAAGCGGCUAUCUGGACAGUAACUGACGCUGAGGCGCGAAAGCACGGGGAGCAAACAGGAUUAGAUACCCUGGUAGUCCGUGCCGUAAACGAUGAAUACUAGGUGUAGGGGGUAUCGACUCCCUCUGUGCCGCAGUUAACACAUUAAGUAUUCCACCUGGGGAGUACGGCCGCAAGGUUGAAACUCAAAUGAAUUGACGGGG
RNAcentral lists this ribosomal RNA (397 nucleotides) under uncultured bacterium. RNAcentral describes it as "partial 16S ribosomal RNA". It matches the Rfam family "Bacterial small subunit ribosomal RNA", at positions 523 to 918 of the family's 1533-position model. The record is from RNAcentral.